This is a non-coding RNA of Haemonchus placei, 75 nucleotides long. The record is from Rfam. NCBI's taxonomy places the organism in Eukaryota, Metazoa, Nematoda, Chromadorea, Rhabditida, Trichostrongylidae.
GGCGUAAAUUUGAAGUAGAGUACAUUAGUAUGGCCAGGUGAUCGUACUAUUCGACUCUACUUCAAAUUUGAGCCC